GACGAACGCUGGCGGCGUGCUUAACACAUGCAAGUCGAACGGAAAGGCCCUGCUUUUGUGGGGUGCUCGAGUGGCGAACGGGUGAGUAACACGUGAGUAAACUGCCCUUGACUUUGGGAUAACUUCAGGAAACUGGGGCUAAUACCGGAUAGGAGCUACUGCUGCAUGGUGGGGGUUGGAAAGUUUCGGCGGUUGGGGAUGGACUCGCGGCUUAUCAGCUUGUUGGUGGGGUAGUGGCUUACCAAGGCUUUGACGGGUAGCCGGCCUGAGAGGGUGACCGGCCACCUUGGUACUGCGGUACGGCCCAGUAGCCUACGGUCGGCAGUAGUGGGGAAUAUUGCACAACGGGCGGACGCCUGAUGCAGCAACGCCGCGUGCGUGAUGACGUCCUUCGGGUUGUAAACCGCUUUCGCCCGUGCUGAACCGUGAUUGACGGUAAUGGGUAAAGAAGCACCGGCUAACUACGUG
This 468-nucleotide ribosomal RNA is filed under the name uncultured bacterium. RNAcentral describes it as "partial 16S ribosomal RNA". It matches the Rfam family "Bacterial small subunit ribosomal RNA", at positions 28 to 507 of the family's 1533-position model. The record is from RNAcentral.